AAUCAACGCUGGCGGCGUGCCUAACACAUGCAAGUCGAACGAGAACGGCGCCUUCGGGUGUUUAGUAGAGUGGCGAACGGGUGAGUAACGCGUGGGUGAUCUGCCCUCAAGUGGGGGAUAACUUCGCGAAAGCGGAGCUAAUACCGCAUGAGCCCUGCGGGGAAAGGUUCUUCGGAAUCGCUUGAGGAGGAGCCCGCGUCCGAUUAGCUGGUUGGUGGGUAAGAGCCUACCAAGGCGACGAUCGGUAGCCGGUCUGAGAGGACGGACGGCCACACUGGAACUGAGACACGGCCCAGACUCCUACGGGAGGCAGCAGUGGGGAAUAUUGCGCAAUGGGCGGAAGCCUGACGCAGCGACGCCGUGUGGGGGAUGAAGGCCUUCGGGUUGUAAACCUCUGUCACCAUUGGCGAAGGCGGCCUUUUUUGGGUUGUUGACGGUAGGUGGUGAGGAAGCGCCGGCUAACUACGUG
Molecule: ribosomal RNA, 469 nt
Filed under: uncultured bacterium
Lineage: Bacteria
Description: bacterial SSU rRNA
Rfam family: Bacterial small subunit ribosomal RNA
Source: RNAcentral